NNNNNNNNNNNNNNNNNNNNNNNNNNNNNNNNNNNNNNNNNNNNNNNNNNNNNNNNNNNNNNNNNGACAAGGAGAUGAGCGCCACCUUCAGACAGAUCCUCUGCUGCCAGCGCAGCGACAGUACCAGUGGCCCCACGGAAGGCUCUGACCGCUCGGCUUCCUCCCUCAACCACACCAUCUUGGCUGGAGUUCACAGCAAUGACCACUCUGUGGUUUAGAAAGGCAACCAAGAUGAGGAGCCAGCUAUCACGGAUGGAGGGAUGAACAGCUCCCCCUCCCCAGGGCCAGGGCCAGAAGAAAUUGAAGACGAGGAAGUCCAGAGGAAAAAGACAAGAUCAGUGGCUCUCCCAUUAGCUGGGAUGACAGAUGAAGGUGGUAAUGGAGGUGCAGAGAAGGAGGUGGCUGGAUUCUCAAGGACUUGGUGCCCGGAGAUUGUGUGGAUAAGGUCAAAAUCCAGGUGAUGACCUUGGCCACUGGACAGAUGGGGAUGUGAUGUGGUGAACUAAGGAACAUAGAUGAGGAGCAAAUUUCCAGGAAAACGAUAAUGAGUAAAAUUUGAGAUAUCCAUGAGCUACCCAAGGAGAAGGAUACAGUAGCAAAUUAGUCACGUGAUACACGGAGCCCAGGGUACCUCUCUGGACUGAAGAUCCAGAUGUAGAGUCCAAGGUCUUCUGCUGUGGUCCUGCCACAUUCCUCCUCAAGCUGAGAAGCACAGAGCCUUUGAUAUGUUUAAGAGUAGGGGAGAAAUUAAAGAAUAGAACUUAAUAUCUGAAACUAUUAUCCAGGAAGAAGCAGAGAGAUUUCUUUGAAACAAAAUGAGGUUAGCUGUCUGUGACAUAUUUGGGUUUUGUUUUGUUUUUUUUUUUUAACUCAAUAACAGAAAUAUCCAAGGUUGGUAAAUAUGUAGCCACCUUAAUGUGUAAUUGAAGUCGAGAUUUUUAGAGCUCAUCCAUAUUUUAUUUUCCCCUCCUUCCAAGCCUCUUGGAAAACUACGUUGCUGCUUGGUGAGUCCAUGUGACUAAUUAUGGCCGGAAGACUGAGUGCAUGUGACAGAUGUCAUUUCUAGGCUGAGAAAGUAAAAGUUUUUGUGCUACUCUUGAGAUCUCUUCCCUGAAAGCCAAGCACGGAGAGGUGAAUAUGAAAAGACUGAAGUCCCCACCAACCUGAGACCUUGAUCCACAAGGCAGAGAAAAUCCCUGCCAAGUCAUACCGAAUAUACAGUAUGAUCAAGAAAUAAACACUCUGCUGUGUUUAUGGUGAGCCUUUGUGGCUCAUUUGUUACUGCAGUAUAACCAACUUAUGUGAACAAAUAGUGUUACAUUUUGAGGAAUAUUAAGAUUCUAACCUUUUCUGGAUCAUAGGGAAUGUUCAUUAAAAUUUUGAACUUUGGUGGAGGAUACCAAAAUGCAUUCCAGAAAAAGGGUACCAUUUUAAGAGUCCUACAGAAUAUACACAGGCAAAAACAUGAAUCUAGACACAAACUUUAUACCCCCUCCCAAGAAUCAACUCAAAAUGGAUCAGAGACUUUAAUGUCAAAUAGAAAACUCUAAAACUCCUAGAAGUUAGCAUAGGAGUAAAUCCAGAUGAUCUUGGCCGUGGCUAUGCAUUUCUGGAUAAAACACCAAAGGGAGGAUCCAGGAAAGAAAUAACUGAUAAACUAGACUUCAUUAAUAUUAAAAAUAUCUGCUCUGUAAAAGGCAUAAGAGAAUGAAAAAAUAAGCCACAGACUAGGAGAAAAUAUUUGCAGAAGAUACCUCUGUAUUUAUUUUAAUACAAAAAACCUCUUAAAACUCAACAAUAAUCCAUUUUAAAGCAGGGAAAGGACUUGAACUGGCACUUGGAGAACAAGUUCUAAGGAUAGCACAUAAGAUAUGAAAAGAGGCUCAUCUUCCUCUAUCAUUAAGGAAUUACACAGUAGAAGAAAAAUGAGAUACUACUAUAUACCCAUUAGAAUCAUACGACAGACAUCAUAUUCUGGUGAGGAUGUGGAGUCGCAGGAACUCUCAUGCAUUGCUGGCAGGAACACGAAAUGGUACAGCCACUUUGGAAGAAAAGUUUGUCUUAAACUUUAACUUAAAGCUUCAAGCUUUCUCACAAAACUAACUUACUCUCAGCCUAUGAGCCCGCAGUCACCCUCCUGGAUACUCAUCCAGAAACUGAAAACUUCUGUCUACGCAGAGACCUGCGUGUGGAUGUUUAUAGCUGAGAUACCACUUUUUAGUGUUUUGUUGCUGUUGUUGUUUUUUUAGAAGCCUUGUUGUUCGAAUGGUUCUUUGAAGCACCAACUUAGAUCUUUCUGAUCUCCAAGGAAAAUAUUUUACCCUUGAAAGCUGAGCUUCAUUAUUAGACUGUGUUCUCCUGACGCUGCCUUCUCUCUGUUUUACGCCAGAAGCUUGGCAUCAUUUGCCAGUUUUAGAAAUUGACAGUUUCAAACAAUUCUGGCUCCUUUAUAUUUAACAAUCUUUUAUUUAGUUCCUCUCUUGUUGCCUUUUACUAUAAAUGACAAAAGGAAGACAAACAAAACCGCCAACCCUCUACCUGGAAACCUCCUAAUUAAACCACCCAGUUGAUAGGUACGUGUUCUACUUUCUAUGUUGUUGUGGGUGUCAGAGUUGCUAAAUUUUCUGCUUCUAUUUUAAAAGAAUCCCUUCGGGGGUGCCUGGGUGGCUUCAGUGGGUUAAAGCCUCUGCUUUCAGCUCAGGUCAUGAUCUCAGGGUGCUGGGAUCGAGCCCCGCAUCGGGCUCUCUGCUCAGCCAGGAGCCUGCUUCCUCUUCUCUCCCUCUCUCUCUCUCUCUCUCUCUCUCUNNNNNNNN
RNAcentral lists this long non-coding RNA (2813 nucleotides) under Mustela putorius furo (domestic ferret). RNAcentral describes it as "lncRNA (ENSMPUG00000028271.1)". The record is from RNAcentral. Lineage: Eukaryota; Metazoa; Chordata; Mammalia; Carnivora; Mustelidae.